UGAACGCUGGCGGCGUGCCUAAUACAUGCAAGUCGAGCGAACAGAUAAGGAGCUUGCUCCUUUGACGUUAGCGGCGGACGGGUGAGUAACACGUGGAUAACCUACCUAUAAGACUGGGAUAACUUCGGGAAACCGGAGCUAAUACCGGAUAAGAUUUUGAACCGCAUGGUUCAAUAGUGAAAGACGGCCUUGCUGUCACUUAUAGAUGGAUCCGCGCCGUAUUAGCUAGUUGGUAAGAUAACGGCUUACCAAGGCAACGAUACGUAGCCGACCUGAGAGGGUGAUCGGUCACACUGGAACUGAGACACGGUCCAGACUCCUACGGGAGGCAGCAGUAGGGAAUCUUCCGCAAUGGGCGAAAGCCUGACGGAGCAACGCCGCGUGAGUGAUGAAGGUCUUCGGAUCGUAAAACUCUGUUAUCAGGGAAGAACAAACGUGUAAGUAACUGUGCACGUCUUGACGGUACCUGAUCAGAAAGCCACGGCUAACUACGUG
RNAcentral lists this ribosomal RNA (495 nucleotides) under uncultured bacterium. RNAcentral describes it as "partial 16S ribosomal RNA". It matches the Rfam family "Bacterial small subunit ribosomal RNA", at positions 30 to 507 of the family's 1533-position model. The record is from RNAcentral.